AGUGAACGCUGGCGGUAGGCCUAACACAUGCAAGUCGAACGGCAGCACAGUAAGAGCUUGCUCUUACGGGUGGCGAGUGGCGGACGGGUGAGGAAUACAUCGGAAUCUACUUUUUCGUGGGGGAUAACGUAGGGAAACUUACGCUAAUACCGCAUACGACCUACGGGUGAAAGCAGGGGAUCUUCGGACCUUGCGCGAUUGAAUGAGCCGAUGUCGGAUUAGCUAGUUGGCGGGGUAAAGGCCCACCAAGGCGACGAUCCGUAGCUGGUCUGAGAGGAUGAUCAGCCACACUGGAACUGAGACACGGUCCAGACUCCUAAGGGAGGCAGCAGUGGGGAAUAUUGGACAAUGGGCGCAAGCCUGAUCCAGCCAUACCGCGUGGGUGAAGAAGGCCUUCGGGUUGUAAAGCCCUUUUGUUGGGAAAGAAAAGCAGCAGGUUAAUACCCCGCUGUUCUGACGGUACCAAAAGAAUAAGCACCGGCUAACUUCGUG
Molecule: ribosomal RNA, 492 nt
Filed under: uncultured bacterium
Lineage: Bacteria
Description: partial 16S ribosomal RNA
Rfam family: Bacterial small subunit ribosomal RNA
Source: RNAcentral